Molecule: non-coding RNA, 82 nt
Organism: Podarcis lilfordi (Lilford's wall lizard)
Lineage: Eukaryota; Metazoa; Chordata; Lepidosauria; Squamata; Lacertidae
Source: the annotation of a GenBank genome assembly
CCUCACUGGCUGAGGAUAGCUCAGUCAGUAAAGCAUGAGACUCUUAAUCUCAGGGUCAUGAGUUCAAGCCCCACAUUGGGGA